UUUUUUCCUUUUUUUGGUGGGGAGGGUGUUCUGCUGAUUCCCCGUUUUUUGUUCAAUAACCUCCAGAAUUUGUUUUUGCACAGUGUAUCUCCCUGGCCAUUUUCAUGACACAUGUGGCCCAGGUUGGGGUUCAGAUCUCUGGCAUUUCCCCAGCUCCCUUCUCUAUGAAGCAGCUCCAUGGCUGUGAUUCAAGGUUUAGGAGAGACUGUGGUUUUUACUAUCACUAACAGCUUACUCCUGGCCUUCCAAAUGUCAAAUGGAAUGAAACGUAACCACCUCUUGGCCUCUGGUUAGCAGCCGGUGUGAACCAAGUGUACCUGACCGAAACUGCUGCUCACUGUUGGAACCUUUCUGCUCAGCUGAGAAGAAUGUCUGCGGCAAGACUUUCAAUAGCAUUCACAGGUUUAAUUAUGCAUAUACACGAGUUAAUUGGUAUUAUCUCACAUUUAGUAUUUACAGUAAUUAGAAAACACUUUACCUAUCUAUUCACUAGCUGUCAAAGGGAGAGAAAUCGAGUCUCUCUCGCAGUGAGAAGGGCUGAUCACAAGAGCUUUGGCUCCGCCUCUUCUCUGCAUCCACUCCUGUGGGACAUCAAUGAGCCAGGCCACCUGGCCCGCCGGAGCACUCCUGGGCUGGCACGCAGCCUCGGGGCACUUUGGAGCAUCCAGCAUUAACCUGCAGGACAAGGCCCUAGGGACAACCUUGCUCUAGAAAAUCAAAUCUGCACUGGCAAUGCUGACAUCAGUGAUGCGCUUACAAAGAAUAGGAUGCAAAGUAAUAAGAACUUUGAAGAGCUCCAAUCCAGUUCUCCAAAUGAGCUCCAGACACGCCGAACAACACGCCCAUGUCACUCAGAACCCACAAGACUUCCACACGCUCAUGCACAGGAAGACUCCAGAAGGCAUGGUGAAAACAAAAGCGAGAAUUUGUCACAUAUACAACUGGUCAAUGCAGUACCUCUUUCAAGGAAAAUUAAGAGCUGAGUCUAAGCACUGAUAGGCUAAGUAACUGAAGUUUGGACUGAGGAGGUAGCUCAGUGACAGACCACCUGCCUGCAGGCACAAGGCCCUGGGGAGCUAAGAACAAAAGCAAGAACAUUAGAAUUACUUAGGGUUACUUGCAAAAUUUUAAUUUGUACUUAUAAAGAAAUAAAAGUAGUUAGAUUUCCAUGAAUGCUGUAUUGUUUGCAGACAUGUCUCAAAAAGCUUGGACUUAUAGAUGAUAUUGUAAGUACUAAGAAAACUGUGACUAGGAAAUUAAAUGCUUUUUAAGUAAUUCAGAGUUAACAUUGACAUGUACAUGCAUAAUGCGUACACCAUGUAUGUAUGGAUCUUGUCAUGCUUUGUGUUGUAAAACCAUCAAUUGUAGCCAUAGAUUUUUCAGCAAAAAAAAUGUGUAUUUAAAUUUUUCAUAAUAAAAUUCCUCGGAUGAGGUAGAAUUGAAAUUGUAUUUUUAAAAA
This is a long non-coding RNA of Cavia porcellus (domestic guinea pig), 1459 nucleotides long. RefSeq lists it as uncharacterized. Lineage: Eukaryota; Metazoa; Chordata; Mammalia; Rodentia; Caviidae. The record is from RefSeq and is a predicted model, not a curated record. The transcript has 2 exons.